ACCCCUAAGGAACUAGAGAGUCAGCGUCGGCCUGUGAUUCAGGUGGUAGAUGAGCGGAUGCUGGUGUUUGACCCCGAGGAGUGUGAUGGGGGAUUUCCUGGCCUAAAAUGGAGUGGCUCCCUCAGUGGCCCCAAGAAGAAGGGCAAAGACCUGACAUUUGUCUUUGACCGGGUCUUCAGUGAGGUGGCCACUCAACAGGAUGUGUUCCAGCACACUACACACAACAUCCUUGACAGCUUUCUCCAGGGUUACAACUGCUCAGUGUUUGCCUAUGGAGCCACUGGGGCUGGGAAGACACACACCAUGCUGACUGCACCUCAGAUAAGACGUCCCAAAAGCCUACCAAGGAGAAGAAAAGGAAACUGAACCUCGAAGAGCCAGGCAGCCUACCAGCCCCCAGUGUGGAGAUGAAGCGCCAACGCCAGUCCUUCGUCCGCAGAUCCACCCUUGAGCCUCCACUGCCUUGAUGACCAUCAAGUCAUAAGGGACUGAUUGGGGUGACAAGGUGCUGUUAACUGAGCGUCCUGACCACGAGGGACUCUUGGCAUCCACUCUUGUUCUCAUCUGCCAACAGCCUUUUCUUGUCCUUGGAGCUGCCAAUGGCAAGAGUCCCUGGCCUGCCUUCCUCACCUGGGAGCAAUCAAUUACCACCACCAUGCCUUAACUCUGUUACCGCCCUCCCCAGCUACUCAUCUACGUGCCUUCUUUAUUAGUCUGUCACACUUGACUUCUUGGUAUAUACGUAUCCUCUGUGAGUGUUAAGCCUGUGGCUAUACUAAGGAUCCUGUCAGGCUUGCUCAUCCCCAAAGCCUCCAUGCAAGCAGGGAACUCCUGGGCUCUGGUCUUCACCUCUCAGCUUCAUGUCUGACAACAGGGCUCUGCAUAGUGAAGGUGGGUGAGGGCAAGAGGACUUGUCGGCUUAGCUCUCCUGGUGCUAACACAGCAUACAUCCAGAACGUAAGGAGAGAGCCUUGGGUAUAAACGCUAGCUGGCUGUGUUGGUAUUUAGGUGUCCUUCUUAUCUUUGGCUUCUCCAUAUUCACAUGUAUUUAUGUGUACACAUAGGUGUAUGCCUAUAGAUGUAUAGAGUUUUUUGUUGUAAUAAUUAAUAAACAUCUCCAUCUCUGGUGUCUUCUUC
RNAcentral lists this long non-coding RNA (1137 nucleotides) under Rattus norvegicus (Norway rat). RNAcentral's name for it is "long non-coding RNA NONRATT006112". Lineage: Eukaryota; Metazoa; Chordata; Mammalia; Rodentia; Muridae. The record is from RNAcentral.